RNAcentral lists this small RNA (77 nucleotides) under Xanthomonas campestris. Its description in RNAcentral is "sX9 sRNA". It matches the Rfam family "Xanthomonas sRNA sX9". Lineage: Bacteria; Pseudomonadati; Pseudomonadota; Gammaproteobacteria; Lysobacterales; Lysobacteraceae. The record is from RNAcentral. RNAcentral also lists the same sequence under 1 other name.
AUGUACCCCUUACACUCCGGUUCCUCCGCGCCGGCCGCACCCACCUGACAACAAUUGCUCGCUACAUUUUAUUAGCU